GAUGAACGCUAGCUACAGGCUUAACACAUGCAAGUCGAGGGGAAACGAUAUUGGAAGCUUGCUUCCGAUAGGCGUCGACCGGCGCACGGGUGAGUAACGCGUAUCCAACCUGCCCACCACUUGGGGAUAACCUUGCGAAAGUAAGACUAAUACCCAAUGAUAUCUCUAGAAGACAUCUGAAGGAGAUUAAAGAUUUAUCAGUGAUGGAUGGGGAUGCGUCUGAUUAGCUUGUUGGCGGGGUAACGGCCCACCAAGGCGACGAUCAGUAGGGGUUCUGAGAGGAAGGUCCCCCACAUUGGAACUGAGACACGGGCCAAACUCCUACGGGAGGCAGCAGUGAGGAAUAUUGGUCAAUGGGCGAGAGCCUGAACCAGCCAAGUAGCGUGCAGGAUGACGGCCCUAUGGGUUGUAAACUGCUUUUAUAAGGGAAUAAAGUGAGUCUCGUGAGACUUUUUGCAUGUACCUUAUGAAUAAGGACCGGCUAAUUCCGUGCCAGCCGCCGCCGUAA
RNAcentral lists this ribosomal RNA (508 nucleotides) under uncultured bacterium. RNAcentral's name for it is "partial 16S ribosomal RNA". It matches the Rfam family "Bacterial small subunit ribosomal RNA", at positions 28 to 523 of the family's 1533-position model. The record is from RNAcentral.